This is a small nucleolar RNA of Zingiber officinale, 111 nucleotides long. The record is from RefSeq and is a predicted model, not a curated record. Lineage: Eukaryota; Viridiplantae; Streptophyta; Magnoliopsida; Zingiberales; Zingiberaceae.
AAUCCAUGAUGUGGCCAUUGUCUGAGCAUAUUAUUGUAUCUAUCCCAUGCUUCAAAUAAAGAUUCGGAGUCGAAUUUUCUGAAGUUUGCAAUAAGAUUUCUUAUAUGAGCU